Molecule: ribosomal RNA, 531 nt
Filed under: Bifidobacterium adolescentis
Lineage: Bacteria; Bacillati; Actinomycetota; Actinomycetes; Bifidobacteriales; Bifidobacteriaceae
Description: partial 16S ribosomal RNA
Rfam family: Bacterial small subunit ribosomal RNA
Source: RNAcentral
GUGGUAAUGCCGGAUGCUCCAGUUGACCGCAUGGUCCUCUGGGAAAGCUUUUGCGGUAUGGGAUGGGGUCGCGUCCUAUCAGCUUGAUGGCGGGGUAACGGCCCACCAUGGCUUCGACGGGUAGCCGGCCUGAGAGGGCGACCGGCCACAUUGGGACUGAGAUACGGCCCAGACUCCUACGGGAGGCAGCAGUGGGGAAUAUUGCACAAUGGGCGCAAGCCUGAUGCAGCGACGCCGCGUGCGGGAUGACGGCCUUCGGGUUGUAAACCGCUUUUGACUGGGAGCAAGCCCUUCGGGGUGAGUGUACCUUUCGAAUAAGCACCGGCUAACUACGUGCCAGCAGCCGCGGUAAUACGUAGGGUGCAAGCGUUAUCCGGAAUUAUUGGGCGUAAAGGGCUCGUAGGCGGUUCGUCGCGUCCGGUGUGAAAGUCCAUCGCUUAACGGUGGAUCCGCGCCGGGUACGGGCGGGCUUGAGUGCGGUAGGGGAGACUGGAAUUCCCGGUGUAACGGUGGAAUGUGUAGAUAUCGGGA